GGGAAGGAAGGUAACUUGGCUUUUUUAUGCAUGUUGAUUGUAGAGAAAUUGAAAAAUAGAGGAAAACUGAGAAAAAUAGUAACCUAUAAUCCCAUGUACUGCCAUUAAAAAGCAGUCUUUGGAGGCGGUUUCUUUAGUUUUUCUGUUUUCCAAAUUUGUUUUUCCCAGGCACAGGCCUUUGGUGGCAGUCUAUCCACUGAAAAUACAGGUAUCCUUGGAAGGAACUGUACGUUAACA
RNAcentral lists this long non-coding RNA (237 nucleotides) under Bos taurus (domestic cattle). Its description in RNAcentral is "long non-coding RNA NONBTAT018382". Lineage: Eukaryota; Metazoa; Chordata; Mammalia; Artiodactyla; Bovidae. The record is from RNAcentral.